AGAUAUUUGUGGAGUUCUCAUCGGCAAGCGAAAGCAAGGUCGCCCAUCAAGCUCUCACUGGACGUAAGUUUUCAAAUCGCGUGGUGGUCGUUUCCUACUUUGAGCCAGAAAAGUACCAUCGUAAGGAGUUUUCAUAGGUAUUGCAAUGUCCAUAUCACAAAACUCUUGGGGCGAGGAUUUUUAAAGUGAGCUUUAACGAGUGGCUUUGACUCAUGCAAGUGGAGAUAAUAUAUUGAAUGCGUACUCUUUGUCUCUUUGAAAAUUUGUCCACACAAAUUUUCACUUGGUUCCAAAUUUUUUUGGCAUGGUAUUAUGUGCUGUUAAAUUCAACUGGGCGUUAUACUGAGUACGCGUUUUACUAACUAUUAUUUCUAACUGUAUGUUUUGAUCUCUCGUCAGCUGUCAAGGUACCACGGGGUUGAGGAGUUUGUGUCAACGGGUUCAAACAAAACUAGUGAUUUGUAUCUUUUGUGAUACAAGUUGCUUCACAGGCGUAUAGACAAGCGCCUUUAUGUUUCUAGUGCUAUUCUCCCGUAAAGCUUCUACUUUUUCAUUUUCAACUAAGCUCUUAUACUGUAUUAUAAAUGUGAUUAAGAAUAUAAAAGCGUUUCUUUGUUUCACUAUAAAGUUCGAUGGUUCUCAUUGUUCCACCAACAAUGUUGAAAGAUUCUAGAGGAGAAUUUUGAAUAAAGUCGAACCUGAGCUAACAUUUUCCAAUAUUACCAAACAUAAUUUUCAAACAGAACUGCUCAUGACUAGC
Paramuricea clavata is the source of this 760-nucleotide non-coding RNA. Lineage: Eukaryota; Metazoa; Cnidaria; Anthozoa; Malacalcyonacea; Plexauridae. The record is from the annotation of a GenBank genome assembly.